This 253-nucleotide ribosomal RNA is filed under the name uncultured bacterium. RNAcentral's name for it is "partial 16S ribosomal RNA". It matches the Rfam family "Bacterial small subunit ribosomal RNA", at positions 524 to 776 of the family's 1533-position model. The record is from RNAcentral.
UACGUAGGUGACAAGCGUUGUCCGGAUUUACUGGGCGUAAAGAGCGCGCAGGCGGUCGAUCAAGUCGAGUGUGAAAGCCCCCGGCUCAACUGGGGAGGGUCAUUCGAUACUGAUCGACUCGAAGGCAGGAGAGGGUAGUGGAAUUCCCGGUGUAGUGGUGAAAUGCGUAGAUAUCGGGAGGAACACCAGUGGCGAAGGCGACUACCUGGCCUGUUCUUGACGCUGAGGCACGAAAGCUAGGGGAGCAAACGGG